This 476-nucleotide ribosomal RNA is filed under the name Prevotella sp. oral taxon G70. RNAcentral's name for it is "bacterial SSU rRNA". It matches the Rfam family "Bacterial small subunit ribosomal RNA", at positions 28 to 498 of the family's 1533-position model. The record is from RNAcentral. Lineage: Bacteria; Pseudomonadati; Bacteroidota; Bacteroidia; Bacteroidales; Prevotellaceae.
GAUGAACGCUGGCUACAGGCUUAACACAUGCAAGUCGAGGGGAAACGGCAUUGAGUGCUUGCACUGAAUGGACGUCGACCGGCGCACGGGUGAGUAACGCGUAUCCAACCUUCCCGUUACUGCGGGAUAACCUGCCGAAAGGCAGACUAAUACCGCAUGUUCUUCGAUGACGGCAUCAGAUUCGAAGCAAAGAUCCGUCGGUAACGGAGGGGGAUGCGUCUGAUUAGCUGGUUGGCGGGGCGACGGCCCACCAAGGCGACGAUCAGUAGGGGUUCUGAGAGGAAGGUCCCCCACAUUGGAACUGAGACACGGUCCAAACUCCUACGGGAGGCAGCAGUGAGGAAUAUUGGUCAAUGGGCGGAAGCCUGAACCAGCCAAGUAGCGUGCAGGAGGACGCGGUGUAAACUGCUUUUAUGCGGGGAUAAAGUGAGGGACGCGUCCCUUUUUGCAGGUAACCGCAUGAAUAAGGACCGGCU